AACGAUAGCUAAUACCGCAUAACAAUGGAUGACACAUGUCAUUUAUUUGAAAGGGGCAAUUGCUCCACUACAAGAUGGACCUGCGUUGUAUUAGCUAGUAGGUGAGGUAAUGGCUCACCUAGGCGACGAUACAUAGCCGACCUGAGAGGGUGAUCGGCCACACUGGGACUGAGACACGGCCCAGACUCCUACGGGAGGCAGCAGUAGGGAAUCUUCGGCAAUGGGGGCAACCCUGACCGAGCAACGCCGCGUGAGUGAAGAAGGUUUUCGGAUCGUAAAGCUCUGUUGUAAGUCAAGAACGGGUGUGAGAGUGGAAAGUUCACACUGUGACGGUAGCUUACCAGAAAGGGACGGCUAACUACGUGCCAGCAGCCGCGGUAAUACGUAGGUCCCGAGCGUUGUCCGGAUUUAUUGGGCGUAAAGCGAGCGCAGGCGGUUUGAUAAGUCUGAAGUUAAAGGCUGUGGCUCAACCAUAGUUCGCUUUGGAAACUGUCAAACUUGAGUGCAGAAGGGGAGAGUGGAAUUCCAUGUGUAGCGGUGAAAUGCGUAGAUAUAUGGAGGAACACCGGUGGCGAAAGCGGCUCUCUGGUCUGUAACUGACGCUGAGGCUCGAAAGCGUGGGGAGCGAACAGGAUUAGAUACCCUGGUAGUCCACGCCGUAAACGAUGAGUGCUAGGUGUUGGAUCCUUUCCGGGAUUCAGUGCCGCAGCUAACGCAUUAAGCACUCCGCCUGGGGAGUACGACCGCAAGGUUGAAACUCAAAGGAAUUGACGGGGGCCCGCACAAGCGGUGGAGCAUGUGGUUUAAUUCGAAGCAACGCGAAGAACCUUACCAGGUCUUGACAUCCCGAUGCUAUUUCUAGAGAUAGAAAGUUACUUCGGUACAUCGGUGACAGGUGGUGCAUGGUUGUCGUCAGCUCGUGUCGUGAGAUGUUGGGUUAAGUCCCGCAACGAGCGCAACCCCUAUUGUUAGUUGCCAUCAUUCAGUUGGGCACUCUAGCGAGACUGCCGGUAAUAAACCGGAGGAAGGUGGGGAUGACGUCAAAUCAUCAUGCCCCUUAUGACCUGGGCUACACACGUGCUACAAUGGUUGGUACAACGAGUUGCGAGUCGGUGACGGCGAGCUAAUCUCUUAAAGCCAAUCUCAGUUCGGAUUGUAGGCUGCAACUCGCCUACAUGAAGUCGGAAUCGCUAGUAAUCGCGGAUC
This 1206-nucleotide ribosomal RNA is filed under the name Streptococcus thermophilus. Its description in RNAcentral is "bacterial SSU rRNA". It matches the Rfam family "Bacterial small subunit ribosomal RNA", at positions 155 to 1350 of the family's 1533-position model. The record is from RNAcentral. Lineage: Bacteria; Bacillati; Bacillota; Bacilli; Lactobacillales; Streptococcaceae.